Molecule: ribosomal RNA, 497 nt
Filed under: uncultured bacterium
Lineage: Bacteria
Description: partial 16S ribosomal RNA
Rfam family: Bacterial small subunit ribosomal RNA
Source: RNAcentral
GACGAACGCUGGCGGCGUGCCUAAUACAUGCAAGUUGAGCGAUGAAGAUUGGUGCUUGCACCAAUUUGAAGAGCAGCGAACGGGUGAGUAACGCGUGGGGAAUCUGCCUUUGAGCGGGGGACAACAUUUGGAAACGAAUGCUAAUACCGCAUAACAACUUUAAACAUAAGUUUUAAGUUUGAAAGAUGCAAUUGCAUCACUCAAAGAUGAUCCCGCGUUGUAUUAGCUAGUUGGUGAGGUAAAGGCUCACCAAGGCGAUGAUACAUAGCCGACCUGAGAGGGUGAUCGGCCACAUUGGGACUGAGACACGGCCCAAACUCCUACGGGAGGCAGCAGUAGGGAAUCUUCGGCAAUGGACGAAGGUCUGACCGAGCAACGCCGCGUGAGUGAAGAAGGUUUUCGGAUCGUAAAACUCUGUUGGUAGAGAAGAACGUUGGUGAGAGUGGAAAGCUCAUCAAGUGACGGUAACUACGCAGAAAGGGACGGCUAACUACGUG